RNAcentral lists this ribosomal RNA (899 nucleotides) under uncultured bacterium. RNAcentral describes it as "bacterial SSU rRNA". It matches the Rfam family "Bacterial small subunit ribosomal RNA", at positions 88 to 988 of the family's 1533-position model. The record is from RNAcentral.
CUUGAGAGCGGCGUACGGGUGCGGAACACGUGUGCAACCUGCCUUUAUCUGGGGGAUAGCCUUUCGAAAGGAAGAUUAAUACCCCAUAACAUAUUGAGUGGCACCACUUGAUAUUGAAAACUCCGGUGGAUAGAGAUGGGCACGCGCAAGAUUAGAUAGUUGGUGAGGUAACGGCUCACCAAGUCAAUGAUCUUUAGGGGGCCUGAGAGGGUGAUCCCCCACACUGGUACUGAGACACGGACCAGACUCCUACGGGAGGCAGCAGUGAGGAAUAUUGGACAAUGGGUGAGAGCCUGAUCCAGCCAUCCCGCGUGAAGGACGACGGCCCUAUGGGUUGUAAACUUCUUUUGUAUAGGGAUAAACCUUUCCACGUGUGGAAAGCUGAAGGUACUAUACGAAUAAGCACCGGCUAACUCCGUGCCAGCAGCCGCGGUAAUACGGAGGGUGCAAGCGUUAUCCGGAUUUAUUGGGUUUAAAGGGUCCGUAGGCGGGCUCGUAAGUCAGUGGUGAAAUCUCAUAGCUUAACUAUGAAACUGCCAUUGAUACUGCGAGCCUUGAGUAAGGUAGAGGUAGCUGGAAUAAGUAGUGUAGCGGUGAAAUGCAUAGAUAUUACUUAGAACACCAAUUGCGAAGGCAGGUUACCAUGUCUUAACUGACGCUGAUGGACGAAAGCGUGGGGAGCGAACAGGAUUAGAUACCCUGGUAGUCCACGCCGUAAACGAUGCUAACUCGUUUUUUGGGUCUUCGGAUUCAGAGACUAAGCGAAAGUGAUAAGUUAGCCACCUGGGGAGUACGUUCGCAAGAAUGAAACUCAAAGGAAUUGACGGGGGCUCGCACAAGCGGUGGAUUAUGUGGUUUAAUUCGAUGAUACGCGAGGAAUCUUACCAAGGCUUAAAUGG